RNAcentral lists this transfer RNA (69 nucleotides) under Heterocephalus glaber (naked mole-rat). It matches the Rfam family "tRNA". Rfam says of the family: Transfer RNA (tRNA) molecules are approximately 80 nucleotides in length. Their secondary structure includes four short double-helical elements and three loops (D, anti-codon, and T loops). Further hydrogen bonds mediate the characteristic L-shaped molecular structure. tRNAs have two regions of fundamental functional importance: the anti-codon, which is responsible for specific mRNA codon recognition, and the 3' end, to which the tRNAs corresponding amino acid is attached (by aminoacyl-tRNA synthetases). tRNAs cope with the degeneracy of the genetic code in two manners: having more than one tRNA (with a specific anti-codon) for a particular amino acid; and 'wobble' base-pairing, i.e. permitting non-standard base-pairing at the 3rd anti-codon position. Lineage: Eukaryota; Metazoa; Chordata; Mammalia; Rodentia; Bathyergidae. The record is from Rfam by way of RNAcentral.
GGAGGUGUGGUUCAGUGGUAGAGCACUUGCCUAGCAUGUGCAGGGUCCUGGGUUCAAUCCCCACCACCA